Molecule: ribosomal RNA, 468 nt
Filed under: uncultured bacterium
Lineage: Bacteria
Description: partial 16S ribosomal RNA
Rfam family: Bacterial small subunit ribosomal RNA
Source: RNAcentral
GACGAACGCUGGCGGCGUGCUUAACACAUGCAAGUCGAACGGAAAGGCCCUGCUUUUGUGGGGUGCUCGAGUGGCGAACGGGUGAGUAACACGUGAGUAACCUGCCCUUGACUUUGGGAUAACUUCAGGAAACUGGGGCUAAUACCGGAUAGGAGCUCCUGCUGCAUGGUGGGGGUUGGAAAGUUUCGGCGGUUGGGGAUGGACUCGCGGCUUAUCAGCUUGUUGGUGGGGUAGUGGCUUACCAAGGCUUUGACGGGUAGCCGGCCUGAGAGGGUGACCGGCCACAUGGGGACUGAGAUACGGCGCAGACUCCUACGGGAGGCAGCAGUGGGGAAUAUUGCACAAUGGGCGGAAGCCUGAUGCAGAAACGCCGCGUGCGGGAUGACGGCCUUCGGGUUGUAAACCGCUUUCGAAUGUGACGAAGAGUGAGUGACGGUAAUGGGUAAAGAAGCACCGGCUAACUACGUG